GAGGACCGCGGGCGGCGCUCUGUCUCCCUGUCUCUAUGGUCGCUGACGCCGCUCUGGCCGCGCGGUUCCUCUUUUCUCCCCGCCUCUUUGCGGUAUCCGCUCCGUGACUCCGCCCCUUCCGGUGGCGCUCUGCCCCGCGCGUCUCUGUGCUCCGGAGUCCUCCAACGCCGUGCGGAGCGGUGAGGAGUUGUGGGGCGGCCCCAUAGAGACGCUCCACUCCGAAGCCCCGCCCACUCCGAGAAGACCACGCCCACAAACAUUCAGACCACGCCCCCUUUGGCUAAGCCCCGCCCAUUCCCCCUUGAAGCCCCGCCCACGGGCCGCCAUGGCCCCGCCCCUUUUGUGGGCGUGGCCGCUGCUGGCCCUGGCGGUGGGCGGGGCGGUGGGCGGGGCUUGCACCGGAAAGAGGUGGAGCCUAACAGGAAGCGGAGCUUUGAGUGAUGGCGCCGGGAACUACUCGGUGAUGGGGGACUGCAUCUGGGUGCUGCACGCCCCCCCCCGGGCAGCGCGUGCUGCUGACGCUGAUGGAAGUGGAGACGGAGUGCGGCUUCGACUUCCUGUUCGUCUUCGAUGGCCCCGCC
This 581-nucleotide long non-coding RNA is filed under the name Gallus gallus (chicken). Its description in RNAcentral is "lncRNA (ENSGALG00010000273.1)". The record is from RNAcentral. Lineage: Eukaryota; Metazoa; Chordata; Aves; Galliformes; Phasianidae.